RNAcentral lists this ribosomal RNA (1234 nucleotides) under metagenome. RNAcentral's name for it is "bacterial LSU rRNA". It matches the Rfam family "Bacterial large subunit ribosomal RNA", at positions 1564 to 2808 of the family's 2925-position model. The record is from RNAcentral.
UGAAUACGAGAUGCUACGGCGUCGAAGCAGUGUAUGUCAGACUUCCAAGAAAAGCUCGCAAUGUCAUAAAUAAAUAAUGCCUGUACCAUAACCGACACAGGUGGGUAGGUAGAGUAUACUAAGGGGCGCGAGAUAACUCUCUCUAAGGAACUCGGCAAAAUAACUCCGUAACUUCGGGAGAAGGAGUGCCUUAUUUAUAAGGUUGCAAUGACAAGAUCCAAGCAACUGUUUAUCAAAAACACAGGUCUCCGCUAAGUCGUAAGACGAUGUAUGGGGGCUGACGCCUGCCCAGUGCCAGAAGGUUAAAGAAGUUGGUUAGCAUUGCGAAGCUGAUGACUGAAGCCCUGGUGAACGGCGGCCGUAACGAUAACGGUCCUAAGGUAGCGAAAUUCCUUGUCGGGUAAGUUCCGACCCGCACGAAAGGCGUAAUGAUUUGGAUACUGUCUCGGAGAGGGACUCGGUGAAAUAGACUUGUCUGUGAAGAUGCGGACUACCUGCACCAGGACAGAAAGACCCUAUGAAGCUUUACUGUAACUUGAAAUUGAAAUUGGACUUUAUUUGCGCAGUAUAGGUGGGAGGCGUUGAAAAUAAUCUCGCGGGAUUAUUGGAGCCAUCAGUGAGAUACCACUCCUAUAAUGUUAGAUUUCUAACUUUGUAUCAUUAUCUGGUCAAAGAACAGUUUCAGGCGGGCAGUUUGACUGGGGCGGUCGCCUCCUAAAUGGUAACGGAGGCGUACAAAGGUUUCCUCUGAACGGGUAGAAAUCGUAUCUAGAGUAUAAAGGCAUAAGGAAGCUUGACUGUGAGACCUACAAGUCGAGCAGGGACGAAAGUCGGUCUUAGUGAUCUGACGGUGCUGAGUGGAAAGGCCGUCACUCAACGGAUAAAAGUUACUCUAAGGAUAACAGGCUGAUCUCCCCCAAGAGUUCACAUCGACGGGGAGGUUUGGCACCUCGAUGUCGGCUCAUCGCAUCCUGGGGCGGUAGUACGUCCCAAGGGUUGGGCUGUUCGCCCAUGAAAGCGGUACGCGAGCUGGGUUCAGAACGUCGUGAGACAGUUCGGUCCAUAUCCGGUGUAGGCGUUAGAAUAUUGAGAGGAGCCUUCUUUAGUACGAGAGGACCGAGAAGGACAUACCUCUGGUGUACCAGUUAUCGUGCCAACGGUAAACGCUGGGUAGCUAUGUAUGGAGUGGAUAACCGCUGAAAGCAUCUAAGUGGGAAGCCCACCUCAAGAUGAG